UACGUAGGUGACAAGCGUUGUCCGGAUUUACUGGGCGUAAAGAGCGCGCAGGCGGUCGAUCAAGUCGAGUGUGAAAGCCCCCGGCUCAACUGGGGAGGGUCAUUCGAUACUGAUCGACUCGAAGGCAGGAGAGGGUAGUGGAAUUCCCGGUGUAGCGGUGAAAUGCGCAGAUAUCGGGAGGAACACCAGUAGCGAAGGCGGCACUCUGGGCCGGAACUGACGCUGAGGAGCGAAAGCGUGGGGAGCAAACAGG
Molecule: ribosomal RNA, 253 nt
Filed under: uncultured bacterium
Lineage: Bacteria
Description: partial 16S ribosomal RNA
Rfam family: Bacterial small subunit ribosomal RNA
Source: RNAcentral